This 1381-nucleotide long non-coding RNA is filed under the name Homo sapiens (human). RNAcentral describes it as "HSALNT0211998". The record is from RNAcentral. Lineage: Eukaryota; Metazoa; Chordata; Mammalia; Primates; Hominidae.
AAAAGGAUGCAAAUCUAGUGAACAGAAUGGAAUGGAGCAAAAGACAAUUAUUUUAAUACCCUCUGCAUGUAGACUGCUGGGGCAAUCAAUGGAUGAAAGUGGAUUACCACAGCUGACCAGUUAUGAUUGUGAAGUUAAUGCUCCUAUACAAGGCAGCAGAAACCUACUGCAGGGUGAAGAAUUACUCAGAGCUUUGGAUCAAGUUAACUGAGCUUUUUCUUAAUUUCAUUCCUUUUUUUGGACACUGGUGGCUCAUUACCUAAAGCAGUCUAUUUAUAUUUUCUACAUCUAAUUUUAGAAGCCUGGCUACAAUACUGCACAAACUUGGUUAGUUCAAUUUUGAUCCCCUUUCUACUUAAUUUACAUUAAUGCUCUUUUUUAGUAUGUUCUUUAAUGCUGGAUCACAGACAGCUCAUUUUCUCAGUUUUUUGGUAUUUAAACCAUUGCAUUGCAGUAGCAUCAUUUUAAAAAAUGCACCUUUUUAUUUAUUUAUUUUUGGCUAGGGAGUUUAUCCCUUUUUCGAAUUAUUUUUAAGAAGAUGCCAAUAUAAUUUUUGUAAGAAGGCAGUAACCUUUCAUCAUGAUCAUAGGCAGUUGAAAAAUUUUUACACCUUUUUUUUCACAUUUUACAUAAAUAAUAAUGCUUUGCCAGCAGUACGUGGUAGCCACAAUUGCACAAUAUAUUUUCUUAAAAAAUACCAGCAGUUACUCAUGGAAUAUAUUCUGCGUUUAUAAAACUAGUUUUUAAGAAGAAAUUUUUUUUGGCCUAUGAAAUUGUUAAACCUGGAACAUGACAUUGUUAAUCAUAUAAUAAUGAUUCUUAAAUGCUGUAUGGUUUAUUAUUUAAAUGGGUAAAGCCAUUUACAUAAUAUAGAAAGAUAUGCAUAUAUCUAGAAGGUAUGUGGCAUUUAUUUGGAUAAAAUUCUCAAUUCAGAGAAAUCAUCUGAUGUUUCUAUAGUCACUUUGCCAGCUCAAAAGAAAACAAUACCCUAUGUAGUUGUGGAAGUUUAUGCUAAUAUUGUGUAACUGAUAUUAAACCUAAAUGUUCUGCCUACCCUGUUGGUAUAAAGAUAUUUUGAGCAGACUGUAAACAAGAAAAAAAAAAUCAUGCAUUCUUAGCAAAAUUGCCUAGUAUGUUAAUUUGCUCAAAAUACAAUGUUUGAUUUUAUGCACUUUGUCGCUAUUAACAUCCUUUUUUUCAUGUAGAUUUCAAUAAUUGAGUAAUUUUAGAAGCAUUAUUUUAGGAAUAUAUAGUUGUCACAGUAAAUAUCUUGUUUUUUCUAUGUACAUUGUACAAAUUUUUCAUUCCUUUUGCUCUUUGUGGUUGGAUCUAACACUAACUGUAUUGUUUUGUUACAUCAAAUAAACAUCUUCUGUGGACC